This 107-nucleotide small nucleolar RNA is filed under the name Gossypium hirsutum (cotton). RNAcentral describes it as "Plant small nucleolar RNA R71". It matches the Rfam family "Plant small nucleolar RNA R71". Rfam says of the family: R71 is a member of the C/D box family of snoRNAs containing the C (UGAUGA) and D (CUGA) box motifs. Multiple nearly identical copies of this snoRNA have been identified in Arabidopsis, and it is thought to function as a 2'-O-ribose methylation guide for 18S ribosomal RNA. Lineage: Eukaryota; Viridiplantae; Streptophyta; Magnoliopsida; Malvales; Malvaceae. The record is from Rfam by way of RNAcentral.
AACUCAUGGUGAUGACACCUUCUCAAUAAAUCCUUAUACCUCUCCCGUGCAUCAUAUAAUGUCUCUAAAUUGACCUGCACAAAGGAAGAGAUGUCGUUCCUCACUUU